This is a non-coding RNA of Clostridium sp. CAG:411, 345 nucleotides long. It matches the Rfam family "transfer-messenger RNA". From Rfam's summary of the family: Bacterial tmRNA, also known as 10Sa RNA or SsrA, is named for its dual tRNA and mRNA-like properties. The record is from Rfam. Lineage: Bacteria; Bacillati; Bacillota; Clostridia; Eubacteriales; Clostridiaceae.
GGGGUUGUAAUGGUUUCGACGGGGAUUUUGAAACUCGAGCAGCUAUCCGUGGCUCUGGGACCACGUAAAAACCUGGAUUAAAUAUAAACGCUGAAGAUAAUUUAGCAUUAGCUGCCUAAGGGCGGCUUGUCAAUCCUAGGCUUCCUGCGACUUGGGAAUUGGCAUCAAACUUGCAGGGCACCUUAUUUACAAAGCUUUGCGUAAGUAAGAGAUUUAUGAAGCUACUAAAGUCAGCAGGGUGUUAGUUCUCGGCUGAUAGAGGGAAUGUCAAAAAACUGACUGUGAUAGGAGAUACUGGAGUGGACGGAUUUUCGGACGCGGGUUCAACUCCCGCCAGCUCCACUA